Molecule: unclassified non-coding RNA, 20 nt
Filed under: Chlamydomonas reinhardtii
Lineage: Eukaryota; Viridiplantae; Chlorophyta; Chlorophyceae; Chlamydomonadales; Chlamydomonadaceae
Description: small RNA Cre_2192
Source: RNAcentral
UACCCGCUUCUCCGAGCUAG